Small nuclear RNA from Hippopotamus amphibius kiboko, 107 nucleotides. Lineage: Eukaryota; Metazoa; Chordata; Mammalia; Artiodactyla; Hippopotamidae. The record is from RefSeq and is a predicted model, not a curated record.
GUGCUUGCUUCAGCAGCACAUAUACUAAAAUCGGAAAGACACAGAGAAGACUAGCAUGGCCCCUGAGCAAGAGUGUUUAAUAACUUUACCAAGACUAUGUAGUUAGU